This 446-nucleotide ribosomal RNA is filed under the name uncultured bacterium. RNAcentral's name for it is "partial 16S ribosomal RNA". It matches the Rfam family "Bacterial small subunit ribosomal RNA", at positions 338 to 795 of the family's 1533-position model. The record is from RNAcentral.
CCUACGGGAGGCUGCAGUCGAGAAUCAUUCACAAUGGGGGAAACCCUGAUGGUGCGACGCCGCGUGGGGGAAUGAAGGUCUUCGGAUUGUAAACCCCUGUCAUGUGGGAGCAAAUUAAAAAGAUAGUACCACAAGAGGAAGAGACGGCUAACUCUGUGCCAGCAGCCGCGGUAAUACAGAGGUCUCAAGCGUUGUUCGGAAUCACUGGGCGUAAAGCGUGCGUAGGCUGUUUCGUAAGUCGUGUGUGAAAGGCGCGGACUCAACCCGCGGACGGCACAUGAUACUGCGAGACUAGAGUAAUGGAGGGGGAACCGGAAUUCUCGGUGUAGCAGUGAAAUGCGUAGAUAUCGAGAGGAACACUCGUGGCGAAGGCGGGUUCCUGGACAUUAACUGACGCUGAGGCACGAAGGCCAGGGGAGCGAAAGGGAUUAGAUACCCCAGUAGUC